AUUGUCUUCAGAAGUUUGAGGCAUUACAUUAAGAUCAAAAUACAAUCAUCAAGCUCUCCGCCUUUCUUGCCUGCUCUGCUCAGUGACGUAACAGUCUUUUGAACCGGAUCUUUCGAACCGAUUCUUUGAAACGAAGUCGAAAAGAACCUGUUCGCGUCACAAGCGUCGGAUUUCCAAGCACUGAGUGAGAGAGCAUAGCCAGCGACAGAUAUGGUGAAAAGGUGCGUUUUGGGUUGUUAUCCGCACAAUACAUUGUUCCCUUUCCCCAAACUACAGUGGUUGCGAGCCCGCUGGCUUGAAUUUUUGCAUUUUGAGGAAGGAGGAAUAUCGGAUAGCUCGCGUUUGUGUGCGAGCCAUUUCGCCCCAGCAUGCUUCACAAAUUUACAGCAGUACCAAAUGGGCUUCGCUGACUUUCUGAACCUGAUAGAUACGGCUAUCCCGACGAUAUACACCGUUGGUCCAACACCGAGUGUGAAGCCAAUGACACGAGAGGUGGGCUGCCAAUGUAAUGCUCCGGUUUUGAAGAGUGUGGCGGUCCAAGCAGUACUCACCCAAAAAAAGCCAAAACGGAGGAGUAAAGCAAUUCAAGUCAAACCGCUUGUGAGUAACUGUGCUAGUGUGUCCUGCUCUGAUGAAGACUUUCCAGUCAAAUCCGAAUCUUCAUUCACAUUAACACCAAUUAAAAGGCCACGAAUGGAGGAUUUCUC
Molecule: long non-coding RNA, 707 nt
Organism: Ctenopharyngodon idella (grass carp)
Lineage: Eukaryota; Metazoa; Chordata; Actinopteri; Cypriniformes; Xenocyprididae
Exons: 3
Source: RefSeq, a predicted model, not a curated record